Arabidopsis thaliana (thale cress) is the source of this 190-nucleotide non-coding RNA. NCBI's taxonomy places the organism in Eukaryota, Viridiplantae, Streptophyta, Magnoliopsida, Brassicales, Brassicaceae. The record is from RefSeq.
CUCGAUGCUCAAAGGGGAGUAUUGCUGCUUACACUCGUUCAACUGCUUCCUCCAGAGUCCAGAUUCAAGAUUCUUCAGCUCAGAAUGGGAAGGGCGGAAGGCCUUACCUUCAACCCCAAAAGCGAGCAAAAGAUCGCAGUUUUCCAAAGCGUCAAGCGUGAUCUGCAUACACCAUCGUCCCCUGCUGCUG